Molecule: unclassified non-coding RNA, 324 nt
Filed under: Hevea brasiliensis (rubber tree)
Lineage: Eukaryota; Viridiplantae; Streptophyta; Magnoliopsida; Malpighiales; Euphorbiaceae
Source: RNAcentral
AUGAUAGUGAAGAUGUCCCAGCAACAAGGAUUCUCUCUCUUUAGACUCUAGUCUCUGGAGAGAGACUUUGCUCUCAAGUUUGCUCUUCUCUUUGAGGCACCGUCCUUUUCCUCUACCAUAUUCAUUGGCUAUCCACUACUCCAUUUGGGCAAGGGAUGGCUUCCUUCUCCGCAUCCAGAGUGUGGGUUUAUCCCUUCCUAUUUCUAACUAGGGUUGCAAAUAGUUUUUGGUUCUUUGUUUUUAUUUGCAAGGUUGGGCUCAACAAUGAGGGGUUUUGAAGACUUUGAGAGCAGUACCCCAUAGCUUAGGCCAGGGCUCUGCAAG